RNAcentral lists this ribosomal RNA (497 nucleotides) under uncultured bacterium. RNAcentral describes it as "partial 16S ribosomal RNA". It matches the Rfam family "Bacterial small subunit ribosomal RNA", at positions 28 to 507 of the family's 1533-position model. The record is from RNAcentral.
GAUGAACGCUGGCGGCGUGCCUAAUACAUGCAAGUCGAGCGAACGGACGAGAAGCUUGCUUUUCUGAUGUUAGCGGCGGACGGGUGAGUAACACGUGGAUAACCUACCUAUAAGACUGGGAUAACUUCGGGAAACCGGAGCUAAUACCGGAUAAUAUUUUGAACCGCAUGGUUCAAAAGUGAAAGACGGUCUUGCUGUCACUUAUAGAUGGAUCCGCGCUGCAUUAGCUAGUUGGUAAGUUAACGGCUUACCAAGGCAACGAUGCAUAGCCGACCUGAGAGGGUGAUAGGCCACACUGGAACUGAGCCACGGUCCAGACUCCUACGGGAGGCAGCAGUAGGGAAUCUUCCGCAAUGGGCGAAAGCCUGACGGAGCAACGCCGCGUGAGUGAUGAAGGUCUUCGGAUCGUAAAACUCUGUUAUUAGGGAAGAACAUAUGUGUAAGUAACUGUGCACAUCUUGACGGUACCUAAUCAGAAAGCCACGGCUAACUACGUG